Molecule: long non-coding RNA, 3065 nt
Filed under: Homo sapiens (human)
Lineage: Eukaryota; Metazoa; Chordata; Mammalia; Primates; Hominidae
Description: HSALNT0253712
Source: RNAcentral
GUGGAUGGAAGUUCAACUCACCGAGCCGGGGUAUUAGGAUAAAGACUAAGCUUCUAGAACAAAGAGGCCCCCAAGCGGAGAAGCUCCCAGAGGCUAGCGGUUCACGCCAUCCGCAAGCAACAGGCGAGACUGCAGGUGGGCCGGGCCCGCUCUCCACCUUGUGGUUUUGGUCCCAGGUCCUGUCCUCGUCUUCGUGGUUGAAGCUGUUGCAGAUGCCUCCUUUCCACCCUGGGGAGGGGGUGAAAAUCCGGGGCCCUGGACGCCGUUUGCUCCAAGGAGGGAGAAUUUUCACGUGGCCUUUUCAUGCCCCUCACUGGUGGAAACUGAUCCCCACAGCUGCACCUGAGCCACAGCGCGGGGCUUUGCUCCUGGCUCGAUGCUCAUGUUCUGAGGAAGGACAGGAACCCACAGGGACACGGGCGUCGGCCCAGGAAAUCCGGGAGGAGGAGCAGGUUUCCUGGAAUUGGAAGCAGCCGGUGAGGAAGAUGCUGGAGACGCCCUGAGACGGCGGCUGAGACACCGAGCUGAGGCCGAGGGCACCGGCUCGGACCGCCUGGGCCAUCCCCACAGGGUUAGCAAAGACGCAAGAGGGCGUGAAGCCACGCGGUCGCACACCUGGUACCGCGCACAGUGAGAAAGGAGGGCAAGUGCGCUGAGACCCAGGAGGGAGGGCAGCCCUCCCCUGCGCUGCUGAGGCUCGUUUCUUUCAAUGUGUCCCUGGCUCUGUGCUGUAUCGUGCGUUUCAGUGUGCAUGAAAUAUCUUGUGCAAUCAUUUACGUGAAAUUAGAGCUAGUAGGAAAAUGUAUCGUCAGGCGUGGAAGAGCGCACUGCACCUUCUUUUUACUUGCGCGCACCUGAGGAUUGUCUAAAAUCCAGGCCUCACGGGACUCCCAGAGCCCGUGCUCGUCACAGCUGCUGGCUACAGAAACACAGCCUGCAAAGUCGGCCUCACCGCCAGCCAGACGAGCCCAGCCAGUUUCCACGAGCAGGGGAGGGCACACCCGGAGGCCACCGUGGAAAGCAGCCUGGCUGCCCUCGGGAAGCCACACGCGGAGCCGCCGCGGCCCAGCACUCCCACCCCUCGAUGUGUGCCCAGGUCGAAGGAAGGCUUGCCACCCGAAGGCCUGCACGGGAAAGCUCACAGCAGCGUUCUCCAAACAGCCAAAACGCGGAAGCAACCCCGAUGUGCGUGGGCUGGUGAAUGCAGGCCCAGCGCGGAGUGCGCACAGCCCGGAACGGCAUUCAGCCAAGAAAAGACCCACAGCCGGGAACAGCAUAUUCAGCCAAGAAAAGAAAGGGCGGCCUGGGGCGCUCUGCACCGCGGGUGAGCCGUGAGAACACGGCGCUCCGGGAGAGAAGCCAGCACGAGACGCUGCCUCGGGCGCGACUCCAUUUACUUGAAGUCCAGAGCCCGUAAAUCCGCGAGACAGACAUGGAGGAGCGGCUUACCAGGCCCAGGGUCCCAUCGCGUGCAGUCCCUGCUGUGCUACACACUCACCUUGGAUCGACGUCUUUGAAGCCUCCGGGGGCUGCAUGUGUAGCGGAACAGGCGAUGCUGAAGUCUUCCUCAGUGACUUCUCUGAAAAGCGAGCGUUCCACGUUGCCCGGCACCCACGACUCUGAGACUGUUUUCUUAAGGAUCAUCUAAGUGCAAUCUAGUGAUGGCGCCCACGCCUCGACGUGCUCACCCACCCGCAUGUUUACUCCUGGACGUCCAGGGGAGGAGCUGAGAGUGGAACGUCCAUCGCCCGUGGGGCCAUCCGGGGAUCUCGGCUUUGGAACGUGCUCAUCCACCUGCAUGUUUACUCCUGAAAGUCCAGGGAAGCUGAGAGUGGAGCAUCCAUCGCCCAUGGGGCCACCCAGGGGUCUUGGCUUUGGAACGUGCUUCUGGAAGCCAGUGGCGGUGUCCCCACGCAGAGCCACUGACCGGACGUGAGCCUCAGGGUGCUAUCUGUCUGGGGCCUGGCAGCAUGGUGUGGCCACAGGACCCACGGUGACAGGAGGCGAUGGCAGGGAGCGAGCGCACCAUCUCCUUAAGCAAAUCAAGUCAGCAGGGCUGUGGAGAGCAGGGUGGCGAGAAUCCGAGCGCCGAACUCCUGGGAUUCUGUUUCUCACUCUGCUUGUCUCCAUUUCCACCACAACGUAAGAGAAACCAUAUUAUUAAAAUGACCCACAUUAGCCUCUAUGUUUUGUCAAAUUUCAUCACACUCCCUCAGAAGGCUGGAAGUGGAAAGGGGCGUUGGAAUCGCAGCAGCGUCAGGCGUGUGGGCUGAGACAGGUUCAGCCUCACAGGCCCUGACCAGGGUGAGGACAGCAGGUGCCACUGAGGCAGCCACAUCUGGGACGGCACCAAAUGCCGCCUCCUCAGGCACUCUGCCACCGCUGUUGUGUUGUGCUGUGUUGUGGCUUCCUGGGGGUGAGGAGGUGGAGGUUCUUUUGUUCGUUUAAGGAAGAAAAUGAUAAAGUGAAGCUUUGGUUCUCCUCCCUGUAGACUUUGCAGCCAGACUCUUCGAUGAAAAACUGUCCUGGCAGUUUGCAGCGACUUUAACGGAACAUGCUGAUGGGGCUACCUACACCUUGGACACUUUUCCCUCAGCCCGGCCUGUUUUCCUGUUUCUCACAUGCGCUUUCUCACUUUCCAGCAGCCUCUUUCUCCUUUUUCAAUCUCUCCUGUCUGGCCUUCCAUUGUUAUUCAGCCUGCUCAUUGCUGCGGGCAGCCCGGACGUACUGGCCAUCAUCUGAAACCACAAACGACAGCGCGCAAUAAGCUGGAGAAAGCAGCAAUCUAGGAAAGUUCUUCAUUCACUCUUGUUCCUAACUCUCUGUCUUCUUAUCCUACACAGAAAAUAAAAAAAUCAAUACCGCCUCACAAGGCUUGAUAAAAGUGCCGGCUGAGUACAGCAGGCAUGCUGGAUAUAGUAAAUUAAAGUGAUCAAAACUUUCCAGUCGACUCUGCCUAUAGCCCACAUAAACUAACAGCCCUGUCUGUCGGAUGCCCAUCAGCUGGAAGCUUUAUUUUAUCGGUGCCUCUGAUUAUCUGGGGAACGAAUACAUAGGCCUGCUUG